AUGACGAACACAAAGGGGAAGAGGAGAGGGGCCUUCUAGAAAACAUGGAUGUCAAAAAGAAAGGAAACAUGGAGUUGUUCCUUUGACCACAUACAAGGGAAUCUAUAAGGUGAUACUGUAGACAUUAGACCUCAAGGGAAUGGGUACUGUUCAAAAAAGGAAUAACCCACAGAUGUUACCAUGGCAAAACCAGAGGCGUCUGCAGUGUUCCCCACCAUGCUGUCGGCAUAGCUGUAAACAAACAAGGGCAAGAUUCUGGCCAAGAGAAUUAAUGUGCGUAUUGAGCACAGUGAGCGCUCUAAGAGCCAAGACCGCUUCCUGGAACGCGUGCAGGAAAAUGACCAGAAAAAGAAGGAAGCCCAAGAGAAAGAUACCUAGGUUCAACUGAAGGGCCAGCCUGCCCCACCCAGAGGAGGGCACUGUGAGGACCAAGGGUACGGGCCUGAGCUACUGGAACCUCUUCCCUGUGAAUUCACGGCAUAA
This 483-nucleotide long non-coding RNA is filed under the name Homo sapiens (human). Its description in RNAcentral is "non-protein coding lnc-PHYHIP-3:1". The record is from RNAcentral. Lineage: Eukaryota; Metazoa; Chordata; Mammalia; Primates; Hominidae.